Molecule: long non-coding RNA, 786 nt
Filed under: Heterocephalus glaber (naked mole-rat)
Lineage: Eukaryota; Metazoa; Chordata; Mammalia; Rodentia; Bathyergidae
Description: lncRNA (ENSHGLG00000038731.1)
Source: RNAcentral
CCAAAAACAAACGAACACACACCACAAGCCUCCAGCCAACUCCCUCCUCUCUAGUCGGAGCCUGACCUAGGCACUGUUCUGACUAGGCCACUGCUCCAGAUUAGACUUGGGAGAGCAGUUCAGUCGGGACUAAGGUGGCAUCACCAGGUCGGAAGCUGGAGGCCGGAUCCGACGUCAGGAACAUGUUCCCCUACGUCUCGAUGCCGAGCGUCCCCCUGCCGAGCGCGGAGGGCGGCUGGCCCCCGCCGCAGCCCUUCAUCUACACCUUCCUACCGGGCGCGCUGCUGCUGCCGCCCAUCGGGGCCCACGACUUCUGCAGCCGGCCGGCCGGCCUGCGGGAGCUCCACUGCUUCCACGGCGCGCGCGCGCCGCCCUGGUGGCCGUCCCCGCCGCUCCCCGCCGCCGGUGACUGGCGCCAGUCUCGACCCGCAGCAGCGGCCGAGCGCGCAGCGCCGUGGCCCGAGGGCGCCAGCCUGCAGGCCGAGCUGCGCUGGGGCCGCGUGGAGCGCGUGCAGGGUCCGCCCCUGCGGCUGCCCGACUCCGUGCGCCGGGAGUUUCGGCGCGCGUACGGCACCUACCCGCGCACCGACGUGCGCGUCACUCGGCGCGGGGCCGAGUUCCUGCUGCAGGCGGUGCCGCGCGUGGGCGAGCCCGAGUACCGCGUGCAGAGGCGCGUGGCGCGCCAGCCGGACGGCGGCCACAGCGACGACAGCCCCGCCCGGGGAGCUGGGCUGCGCGGCCGCGCCCAGAGCAGCAAGGGGCCGAGCUGAGCGCGCCUCGGGCCGG